CCUACGGGGGGCAGCAGUGGGGAAUAUUGGGCAAUGGGCGCAAGCCUGACCCAGCAACGCCGCGUGAAGGAAGAAGGCUUUCGGGUUGUAAACUUCUUUUCUCAGGGACGAAGAAAGUGACGGUACCUGAGGAAUAAGCUACGGCUAACUACGUGCCAGCAGCCGCGGUAACACGCAGGGGGCAAGCGUUAUCCGGUUUUAAUGGGAGUAAAGGGCGUGUAGGCGGGAUCGCAAGUCAGAUGUGAAAACCCAGGGCUCAACCCUGAGCCUGCAUUUGAAACUGGGGUUCUUGAGUGCUCGAGAGGUAAUCGGAAUGCCGGGUGUAGCGGUGAAAUGCGUAGAUAUACGGAGGAACACCAGUGGCGAAGGCGGAUUGCUGGACAAUAACUGACGCUGAGGCGCGAAAGCGUGGGGAGCAAACAGGAUUAGAUACCCGGGUAGUC
RNAcentral lists this ribosomal RNA (443 nucleotides) under uncultured bacterium. RNAcentral describes it as "partial 16S ribosomal RNA". It matches the Rfam family "Bacterial small subunit ribosomal RNA", at positions 338 to 795 of the family's 1533-position model. The record is from RNAcentral.